ACAGCAGGGCAGGAGAAGGAAAACUAAAGAACAGAUUGAGAAAGAGGGAACACCACCUGCUCCAGAUGGCAUGUUAGUAAGGAUUUAAACAUGUUGACUUCAGACCCAUGAAGAUUCAAGUCUUCAAGUCAAACUUGGAGCAAAGAGCAAAACCUUACCAGCCAUGGACUAUUGACAAGCACUGGGGGUAACUAGUGUCUGUGUGAGAGAGCAACAGCUACUGAGCACAGGAAGUGUGUGGUGCAAGAGAUUAGUGACUCGAACUACAGAAUGUUCUUUGCAUUUAUUUUUUCCAUGGAUGAUUAGCCUAACUGGAGACAUCACAGGCUAAAAAUAACUUAAAUAUUGAAAGAGUUUUGCAUCACUCUUCAUUCUACUACUCCACUAUGGAUAACCUCUCUUCCCCGUCUUCCAACACGCAGGAUGGUUCACCCACCAUGUUCCCAGACUCGUCUCGCCGCACCACUCACACUGGUAACCAAGGUGGGUUGGGAUCGUUGGUAUAUGAGGUGGGGGUCGUAUGGGCUCACCUGCGGCCGCUCAUACCGUUCUUUCUGAUCAGUGCAAUGGUCGUGGCAAUCAUCUACCUAAUCCAGCACAUUAUCUACUCUGGGCCAUUCACCGAUCCACUCUUCUUUGAGAAAUUCGAGGAACGUUGGCCUAGACCCAAACCGCACAAGGAUACCUCACCCUCAAACCCAGUCCUUUUCACUGACCCUAUGGAAUACACUGGGAAUGGAACCCUUUGAACUUGAGUCGUGGAAUUCGGAUGAAUUCUGCCUGUGCCAUAGGAUUCUAUUUGAAGGUGGAUCAAAGGUUUUUAGAAUCUCCCUGUGGAAUUUGCGGUGAGGUUCAUUAUCAGAUCAUGAUUAGAUCUGCAUGUGACUCCCAGGGGCUUCUGUCUUUGACUCAAUUGUGUCCCUAUGUCUGUUCUAUUCAACAGCCACUUGGGCUAUGUAUAUAUAAUGUGCAGAUUAUGAGAACCUGGAGUCUGGACCAUUACUAGGCUAUAAUUAGUCUACAAUGCUCUAAUGUCUUAAUCUAUAUUUAUUAGCCCUGUAUAACUGUGUCUGUCAGUGACGGUGAAUGUAUUUAAUGAUUUAAAUUCCAGUAGAUCUGGCCUAGAUCUACAGUUAAUUGUUUUAGAUUAAUACAAUAAUUGUAAUUUGGGAGAAAAAUGCAAAUUGAGGGGGAAUAAAGUUUUGGUUUCAAAAAAAUGUACUCGUCUGUACAGUUUACAGUCCAGUACACACUACACAAAGAUUUUUCAUAGACCGUAUGGAUUUUCUCUACAGAUGCAUUUGUGGCAACCCAUUUAGCAGUGUUGCCAGGUCAAGCUAAAAUUUGUAAUCCAAUGACUACUCAAAACCCACCCAAAAGGCCUGAAAACUUGCCCAACUUUUUUUUUUCAGCAGCUAGAAGAGUUUGUCAUUAUGGAGACAACUAUUGUAUAAAUGUGCAAUCUAAAUACUUAUGGUCAAAUUGCUUUUCUGCAUUUUUCCCUUUUUAUUGGUUCAUCACAUUAAAUGAUUUAAUCUGAACUAUUGAAAUGAUUGAUAGUGAAUGGUUAAGAGGUAUGGGUUUUUUUCAGAAAAAAUUCUUGUGAAAUGGUGUUAACACAAUGUUAAUCAUUGUGAAAUAGUGUUAAUACAAGUCACAUUGCUCUAAAAUAAUUGUAUUCCUUUAAACUGGAGUAUGAAAAACUAAAAUCCCCAACAGUUUGCUUUUGGGAUUUUAUUUCAUAAUAAAUUAAAAUGAAUGUGUAGAGAUAAGUACACCAAAACAGUAGUACUAGUUUGGUAGUAGCCAUCCAUCUAGGAUGAAGUGAUCCCCACACAAGUUGGUGCUGCUGCCAUUACCCAUAUGUUGCUCUACAGAGAGUAGAGGAACAGACAGAUAGUGCUGGGUUAGGCCAACCAGGAGCCCCACUACCAGGUUGAAGCCAUUUCUUGGACUUUAUGGGACACUCAGAAACAGGGUUCCUGCCAGUGAGGGGCCAAAGGAGGUACAUGUUGGUGAUCCCCAUAGAAGCUGCAGUUGCUUCUUGGUUGUGACGUCUGUACUUUGAUCAAUAAUCAACGAGUAAGACACAAUUUGAUUUAUUAGUUCCUCAUGCACUGCGGGCCCUAUAACUUAAUUCAUGAGCGCUGUGCAUUUUGUUCUGGGGAAAUUGAUUCCUUUCUUUGCGAUGUCUUCAAUGCAUCCCAUGUGAUCUAGUUGCAAUGAUGGAGUGGCAUGCAAAAUGUGCAGCGAUCUGUAAGGAUGAUUGUUUAACUGUUAUUCUCAUACAAAUGUAGUUCCCGAAUCAAACAAUGUUCUUGCAUUAGAAAAUGGAGCAGCAUGUCUCUUGUUUCUCCGUUUGUGAAUGAGAAAUAAGAUCGGGUUGUUGGGCUCGCAUGUUUCAUCUGCAAUACCUACAACCUUUUCUGUCAUCUCCCACGAUGCUAAUACAUUACAUUAUACCCAUUUCUAUUUCCUAGUUUUUGCAAAAUGUUCGCCCAUUUACCUGGCAUUCUGACAGUAGAAUCGUGUCUAGACAGCAAACUAGCGUGUUAAAUCUGUUAGUCUGCUUGCUACGUGCUCAAGAUAGAAAGCACAUUGAUGGAUCCUCUUUCUUAAACUGUUGGAUGUAAUGGAUUUCUCUUCCUUGCUGUAAUGAUUGGUAGGACUUACAGAAUUAUAAAGCUAGCUAGCUAGUGCUGCUGUUCCUUGUUGAAUCUCACGUCACUUGUCAUGAUGUGCGCCCGCGCUGUUAACCCUGACUGACGUGGCUCCGCUGAGCUGCAGCAUCCUCAACAGUACUACACACUCGAUGUGAUAAAUAUAUUUUCCAAAGCAUCUGGUCUUUGCCUAAACCUUAAUAAGUGUGAAUUAUUUGCUGUUAAAAACUGUGUGAUACCCUCUAUAUGCAAUAUUCCAGUCAAGGAAAAAGUAACAUACCCUGGGAUUACCAUAUAUCUAAGGAUCAACAAGAAAGAUGCUCAUUAUAUUUUAUACCUAUUAUUGAAAGAAGAAAAAAAGAAGUUGAACCAUUGGAUGCAGAGGGAUUUAUCCUUGAAAGAUAGAGUGUUGCUUUCUAAAACUGAAGUGGAUGUGGGAAUGUGGCGGUAUCAGAGGCCAGGGCUCAAGGCCUUACUCCUGACAGAGCUUCAGAGGCAGCGGAGGACAGUUCUGUGACACGGUGCUCCGAGCAGAGGGGGUGUCAGUACCAGCCCACAGUUACAUCCUGUCCGCCCUAAGCCCCCAGCUGUCAUGUGCCCUGUCCACCGCACCGGCACCUCCCUCUGGGCAGAGCCACCUACUGGAUUUCCAGGUUUUUGGGGCAUGCACCCUGGGAGGCUGGUAGGUCUGCUGUAUUCUGGGGAGAUGGUGGGAGAGAGGGAGGCGGAGAGACAGGAAGUGAUUUCUGCUGCUACUAGGCUGGGCAUCCAAGGACUGGUGGAGAUCAGAAAGCGGGAUUUGAACGCUUCGAGGGAAACAUCGCUGGAUUCAUCAGUUACUUCCUCGAUCCCUCCCAACCACAGGAGGAGAACCUGAGAGGGAGGCGGGGCCGGAGGAGGCGGGUGGGGGGGGAUCUAAGAGGGGGGGAACUGAGAGGAGAGCCAGGAGGCUGAGAGAAGGAGGUAGUAGAGUGAGAGGAGUCCUGAAGAAGGGGUCUGGGGUUGAGCAGGGGGUGAUGGAGGUGUCCCAGAGAGCAAGACUGGAAGUAGUGGGUCCGAGCCUUCGUCCCCUUCUUCCCCAUCUCCCGCCCCCUCCCCUGCCCCUAACCUGACCCUUUCCCCGUCCCUCGUCCACACUGCCCCC
Molecule: long non-coding RNA, 3804 nt
Organism: Oncorhynchus keta (chum salmon)
Lineage: Eukaryota; Metazoa; Chordata; Actinopteri; Salmoniformes; Salmonidae
Exons: 3
Source: RefSeq, a predicted model, not a curated record